This 234-nucleotide ribosomal RNA is filed under the name uncultured bacterium. RNAcentral describes it as "partial 16S ribosomal RNA". It matches the Rfam family "Bacterial small subunit ribosomal RNA", at positions 524 to 754 of the family's 1533-position model. The record is from RNAcentral.
UACGUAGGGUGCAAGCGUUAAUCGGAAUUACUGGGCGUAAAGCGUGCGCAGGCGGUGAUGUAAGACAGUUGUGAAAUCCCCGGGCUCAACCUGGGAACUGCAUCUGUGACUGCAUCGCUGGAGUGCGGCAGAGGGGGGAUGGAAUUCCGCGUGUAGCAGUGAAAUGCGUAGAUAUGCGGAGGAACACCGAUGGCGAAGGACAAUCCCCUGGGCCUGCACUGACGCUCGAUGCAC